UACACGACACGAUGAGUUUGUGAAAAUUUUCGGAGAAGUUUUUGGAUAUCCGAGCUAUUUAUAUCGAUUUUCCAAAGUUAUGGGAUUAUAGAAAUUAAUUUAAGAAAUAGGAAACAAGUGGAGCGAUCCUAGCCAUUCCUUUUUUCCACCGCUUGAUCUUAGUUGUCCAUUGUUGAAUGGGACAACUCAGAUCAGUAAGAAGAACCAGAAGCAUCGAGAGAGAGAAAGACAGCUGGGAGCUCCCUGACCCGAGACGUAGCGCGACCCGACAAGGUGACCCGGCCAUUGGGCCACGUUACAACCACCCCACGACGGCUCCCAGGUGCCAUUCCCUUCAUCUCUUCGUCGCCUACGUUCUUGUGUCCUCGGAUCAUACAUGCAACGAUCGUGAACGGAGAAUCAAUGGCGAGUUUCUGCAACUUCCGGAGACUCUGGCCACAGUUUUUGCCUCCUGGGCCACGGCUCCGCCAUGUUCUUCGAGUCCAGCAACGUCUCCAGAGCUUCUAGCUUAGGUGGCGGGUGAAGGAUGAUUCACUAUUCAUACUCUACACGCUGGACCUAGUCUGCGAGUUCGAUCAAGAUUUUGGAGAAGCUGUGUUUGGGGUGCAAUCUGCCUCCAUCGAGGUUUGAUUUUCCUGGUCUGUCUUUUGAUUGAUUUUAGUAUUAGACUAUGGACUGAGGCUUAGUUGUGUUGUAUACAGGAUUGGGGAAUUAGUUAGCUACACCUGCUUGGGCUUGCUGUGCUCUCCUAAUGAGUGCAGACUUUGCGAUAAGUCGAUCAUAAGGUGAGUUGGAUUUGUUGGAGAAAUUCUGGGAAAUUUCCUUGUAGUUGAUUGCUAGUGUUUGUAUGAUAGUCGUACCCUGUAGUGAAGGAUGGUAAUUUGAGUUGUUUCUGGUCUACCAACUUGAUGUCUUCAGUCUUGAAUUGGAAAUUUGGAUGAGUUGUGGUGCUUAGGUUUGAAUGUUGAUGUCUUGCUAAGGUUUGCUCGGUAGGUAGUUUGAAAUGGUUGUGGUCUAUUUGAAAUGGUCAAGUUAUAUUGUGGGUCAAGUUCA
This is a long non-coding RNA of Rosa chinensis, 1053 nucleotides long. RefSeq lists it as uncharacterized. NCBI's taxonomy places the organism in Eukaryota, Viridiplantae, Streptophyta, Magnoliopsida, Rosales, Rosaceae. The record is from RefSeq and is a predicted model, not a curated record. The transcript is spliced from 2 exons.